CCUACGGGGGGCUGCAGUGGGGAAUAUUGCGCAAUGGGCGAAAGCCUGACGCAGCAACGUCGUGUGAGUGAUGACGGCCUUCGGGUUGUAAAGCUCUGUCGGCAGGGAAGAUGGGAGAUAGGUUUAAUAUGCUUAUCUUUUGACGGUACCUGCAAAGGAAGCACCGGCUAACUCUGUGCCAGCAGCCGCGGUAAUACAGAGGGUGCUAGCGUUGUUCGGAAUUACUGGGCUUAAAGAGCUCGUAGGUGGUUAAAAAAGUUGAUGGUGAAAUCCCAAGGCUCAACCUUGGAACUGCCAUCAAAACUUUUUAGCUAGAGUGUGAUAGAGGUAAGUGGAAUUUCUAGUGUAGAGGUGAAAUUCGUAGAUAUUAGAAAGAACACCAAAUGCGAAGGCAACUUACUGGGUCACUACUGACACUGAGGAGCGAAAGCAUGGGUAGC
RNAcentral lists this ribosomal RNA (440 nucleotides) under uncultured bacterium. RNAcentral describes it as "bacterial SSU rRNA". It matches the Rfam family "Bacterial small subunit ribosomal RNA", at positions 338 to 769 of the family's 1533-position model. The record is from RNAcentral.